Molecule: ribosomal RNA, 1396 nt
Filed under: Kocuria sp. TMS1-1-1
Lineage: Bacteria; Bacillati; Actinomycetota; Actinomycetes; Micrococcales; Micrococcaceae
Description: bacterial SSU rRNA
Rfam family: Bacterial small subunit ribosomal RNA
Source: RNAcentral
ACCAUGCAAGUCGAACGAUGAUGCCCAGCUUGCUGGGCGGAUUAGUGGCGAACGGGUGAGUAAUACGUGAGUAACCUGCCCUUGACUCUGGGAUAAGCCUGGGAAACUGGGUCUAAUACUGGAUACUACCUCUUGCCGCAUGGUGGGUGGUGGAAAGGGUUUUACUGGUUUUGGAUGGGCUCACGGCCUAUCAGCUUGUUGGUGGGGUAAUGGCUCACCAAGGCGACGACGGGUAGCCGGCCUGAGAGGGUGACCGGCCACACUGGGACUGAGACACGGCCCAGACUCCUACGGGAGGCAGCAGUGGGGAAUAUUGCACAAUGGGCGGAAGCCUGAUGCAGCGACGCCGCGUGAGGGAUGACGGCCUUCGGGUUGUAAACCUCUUUCAGUAGGGAAGAAGCGAGAGUGACGGUACCUGCAGAAGAAGCGCCGGCUAACUACGUGCCAGCAGCCGCGGUAAUACGUAGGGCGCAAGCGUUGUCCGGAAUUAUUGGGCGUAAAGAGCUCGUAGGCGGUUUGUCGCGUCUGCUGUGAAAGCCCGGGGCUCAACCCCGGGUCUGCAGUGGGUACGGGCAGACUAGAGUGCAGUAGGGGAGACUGGAAUUCCUGGUGUAGCGGUGAAAUGCGCAGAUAUCAGGAGGAACACCGAUGGCGAAGGCAGGUCUCUGGGCUGUUACUGACGCUGAGGAGCGAAAGCAUGGGGAGCGAACAGGAUUAGAUACCCUGGUAGUCCAUGCCGUAAACGUUGGGCACUAGGUGUGGGGGACAUUCCACGUUUUCCGCGCCGUAGCUAACGCAUUAAGUGCCCCGCCUGGGGAGUACGGCCGCAAGGCUAAAACUCAAAGGAAUUGACGGGGGCCCGCACAAGCGGCGGAGCAUGCGGAUUAAUUCGAUGCAACGCGAAGAACCUUACCAAGGCUUGACAUUCACCGGACCGCCCCAGAGAUGGGGUUUCCCUUCGGGGCUGGUGGACAGGUGGUGCAUGGUUGUCGUCAGCUCGUGUCGUGAGAUGUUGGGUUAAGUCCCGCAACGAGCGCAACCCUCGUUCUAUGUUGCCAGCACGUGAUGGUGGGGACUCAUAGGAGACUGCCGGGGUCAACUCGGAGGAAGGUGGGGAUGACGUCAAAUCAUCAUGCCCCUUAUGUCUUGGGCUUCACGCAUGCUACAAUGGCCGGUACAAAGGGUUGCGAUACUGUGAGGUGGAGCUAAUCCCAAAAAGCCGGUCUCAGUUCGGAUUGAGGUCUGCAACUCGACCUCAUGAAGUCGGAGUCGCUAGUAAUCGCAGAUCAGCAACGCUGCGGUGAAUACGUUCCCGGGCCUUGUACACACCGCCCGUCAAGUCACGAAAGUUGGUAACACCCGAAGCCGGUGGCCUAACCCCUUGUGGGAGGAGCCU